RNAcentral lists this ribosomal RNA (417 nucleotides) under uncultured bacterium. RNAcentral's name for it is "bacterial SSU rRNA". It matches the Rfam family "Bacterial small subunit ribosomal RNA", at positions 153 to 542 of the family's 1533-position model. The record is from RNAcentral.
GAAAGCGAUGCUAAUACCGGAUGAAGUUUAUUUUACUUAGGUGGAAUGAAUGAAAGGAUGCCUAUUCUUGAAAGCAUCUGACAGAAGAUGGGUCCGCGUACCAUUAGCUUGUUGGUGGGGUAAUGGCCUACCAAGGCGACGAUGGUUAGCUGGUCUGAGAGGAUGAUCAGCCACACUGGAACUGACACACGGUCCAGACUCCUACGGGAGGCAGCAGUGAGGAAUUUUGCGCAAUGGGGGCAACCCUGACGCAGCAACGCCGCGUGAGUGAUGAAGGCCUUUGGGUCGUANAGCUCUGUCAGUGGGGAAGAACGUGAUUAAAGUUAAUAGCUUUAAUUUAUUGACAGUACCCACAAAGGAAGCAACCGGCCUAACUCCCGUGCCAGCAGCCGCGGUAACCCGGGGGGUGCAAGCGUU